Molecule: ribosomal RNA, 43 nt
Filed under: Phytophthora cinnamomi
Lineage: Eukaryota; Oomycota; Peronosporomycetes; Peronosporales; Peronosporaceae
Also listed under: 1 other name
Description: partial 28S ribosomal RNA
Source: RNAcentral
UUGGACCUGAUAUCAGGCAAGAUUACCCGCUGAACUUAACAUA